Molecule: RNA transcript, 1319 nt
Organism: Haliotis rufescens (red abalone)
Lineage: Eukaryota; Metazoa; Mollusca; Gastropoda; Lepetellida; Haliotidae
Exons: 5
Source: RefSeq, a predicted model, not a curated record
CAUCAGUGUUGUAUUCUAUCUCGAACAGUCGUGUUAAGCCCGUGGAGGCGUCGAUGUACCAUCGAUGGGUGCCUAUAGGAUCGCAUUCAUAAUUGGAUUUGCAUGGACCAUCGUGCUGCAAGUCGAUGGCCAGCCAAUCCAUUAUUCUGAGAGGAAGGCGUCGAGGCAGCCAGUGCCCUACAACUCCGGUUAUCAUGUAGAGACAUCGUAUGACACCAACCAUGGAUCGCCCAGCGGCGAGACCAGGAUAGUCACGCUUCCUCCAACAAACCUAAAACCAUCAAGGCAACCAGUGCCGUUCUCCGGCAAGACUGAAACAUCAUCAUCUUAUGCCUUCCCUGACCAGAAGCCUCAUCGUCAGCCAGUGCCUAAAGCUGACCGAUGGGCUGAGCAACACACUUCUGAUCCUAGAAAUCAAACAUUUGUUGCAUCUGUUCGACGAGACAAGUCACAAUUCGAAAGGAGACCAUCACGACAACCUGUACCUUCAGCACCAUCUGUACCAAAUGAAGGUUCUUUAAAAGACGAGCCCAUUAAACCAGUCCCCAAAAUACCAUCUGUACCAGCGGGCAACCAAAUCGCAAAAACAUCCCCAUCGGCGUCGGUAAUACCAUUAUGGAAGCAGGCACCCGAGACGCCAUGGCAACCAAACAUUGGUGGCUAUCAACCAUACUCUUUAAACUACAAUUCCAGACCAAACAACCAUCUUAGCUGGAACCCAAUUGUUAACGUGGCUCGUCAGUACCAAAUGAAACGACAAGGGCUCAGCCAAUACCGUACUGGGAACCCAUUGAGCAUCUGGGGUCUUUCUGGUAGACAGAUCAAUAGCAACUACAUGUACAGAGAGAUGGUUCCAGCAGACAACUACGCAGGAAACGCCUACGACAGUCAUCUCAGCUCCUUCGGCGUCGUUGACUACAACGGUCCAUGCAGAAGGCUGUGUACAAUGUACUGCUCCCUUGGGUACGACGUUGAUAUAAAAGGAUGCCCUGCAUGUAACUGUCAACGUCCAGGUGCCGGCCAUCCUACGUACAUUGGCAGCAUCGUUUGCCUGUCCUCGUCGCUAUUGUAAUCAGCAUUGUCCUUACGGCCAGGAGAAGGAUGUAUUCGGCUGCAGCACAUGUACAUGCAAGUCAUUUAGUGGGAUGCUGAUUGAGUACAUUCGGAGCCUUCCCUAUGACCCCGGAAUCCUUUUCUCUGAGUAGACUACACAGCAUAAUGCCGAUUUCCUCCAAGCGUGCAUACCACGCACAUAUCACACAUAUGUAUAGACACUGCUCUGUCAUUGUUUAAAUAUAUUAAAUCGCUUGUCAGUUGUA